CCUAAAUGAUCCUAAGUGGAGUCUCCAGUGCCUGGAACAGUUCAUGCAGCCCUCAGCAGAGGCAGUCAGGAGGGUUUUCCUUCCAGCAGCCUGAAUUCUCCCAAGCUUGCGAGAGAAAAACUCCCUUUGGGACAUCCCUGUCAAGUCUGCCUGAAAGUGGACAGUCUGUUCAUGAGCUCCUGGGGAUAAAGAGCAGAAAGAAAAGUGACUGUGACACUGGAGGUGGCACCUGUGUCCUCAGGGGAGCACACAGCCUGCUUCAGCUCAGGGGCAAAAGGACGGACAGCAGCGCUGCCCGGAGCCGUGUCCCGACGGGAGCCGUGUCCUGCUAUUGCCACCUCGUGGGGCCUCGCAGCAAUGACCAGGUCACCCCCGCGGGUGAUGGCACAGUGCAACAAGCUGGAUGACUUUCCAUGCCAAUGGAUGACCUUCUCUGCAGACUCAGGGCAAGAUGCUCUAGUUAAAGAUGUAUGUCAAGAAAACACUUCCUAAAUGUUCUCAGGCACCACUUUUUAUGUCUUUUUGUACCACAGGGUGCUUGUCCUGAGGGAGACCCAAGGCUUCUCCUCCUGACAGAGCACGUGUGCUGGAGCUGGCAGGAAUGUCAGUCCUUGCACAGACAACCCACAGCCACACUGGAACCACCCCAUAAUGGAUAAUUUUGUGCACAUGUCAUCUGUCUGGACCUCAACUAGACAGGUAGAGUCUGCCUGUUGUCCCUGCUCCUGGAGCACUGUGACACAGGAAGGAGAAACCAGGGCUGUUCCUGCCCAUCCUGCAUCUGCUCCUGGAGUGAACCAACAAUUCCACUUCCUCAGCAUGCUGGUCUGAGGUCUUUCCUAAGCACCAAACUCAUACAGAGAAAAUAAAUAACAGCUCAGUAAUAA
Long non-coding RNA from Chiroxiphia lanceolata (lance-tailed manakin), 887 nucleotides. RefSeq lists it as uncharacterized. The record is from RefSeq and is a predicted model, not a curated record. The transcript has 3 exons. Lineage: Eukaryota; Metazoa; Chordata; Aves; Passeriformes; Pipridae.